UGAGUGUCAUGAAAUUCUCAACCUUUUCAGCUUUUUGUUGAAUAGGCUUGGAUUUUGGGAGUUGUUGCAGGCUGCUCAGAAGUCUGCUCUCCUUAAAUGUAUUAGCGGGGCCCUUGUUGUCUAGCAUUUGGUGUGAUAAUCAUCUACGCCAUUGUGAACAAUGUAAUAGGUCGGCUUCUAAUCGUCUCGUAAAGAGACAAUCUCUGACAUUUUGACCUCAAAUCAGGUAGGACUACCCGCUGAACUUAA
Molecule: unclassified non-coding RNA, 249 nt
Filed under: Tricholoma matsutake
Lineage: Eukaryota; Fungi; Basidiomycota; Agaricomycetes; Agaricales; Tricholomataceae
Description: ITS2
Source: RNAcentral